UGAGGUCAAGCCACACAGCCACCGGAAGCGGUUGCGACUGAAGAUUUUUCUUCCAGCCAUUGGCAUCGCUAUAUGUUUAUCUCUUCUAUUGGUUGCGCUCCUUCUGUUCAAAGGGAGAAAAGGGUCGGACAGGAUCAGUGCUACGCGAAACCAUUUGUUGGAGAACAAGUAUCCGAGAGUUUCAUACCUCCAGCUCUUUGAAGCGACGGAUGGUUUUGCCCCUGCUAAUCUGAUAGGAGCUGGAAAAUAUGGAUCUGUUUACAAAGGAAGACUGUCUAUCACAGGUGUUGGGGAUUCUGU
RNAcentral lists this long non-coding RNA (300 nucleotides) under Zea mays. RNAcentral's name for it is "long non-coding RNA (ZMAY_LNC000449)". Lineage: Eukaryota; Viridiplantae; Streptophyta; Magnoliopsida; Poales; Poaceae. The record is from RNAcentral.